AAAAAAAAGAGGAGUUGGCAGCAUAGGCAGUAGGGCUUCUCUCGUGAGCGGGAAGUCACCUAGACGUCAUAAUCUAGUGGCACAAGGGCCGUCCAGCCUAGAAUGUCGGGACCUCAACCAGUGGCAACUCAAUUGAGACCGGAUGUAACAUCAUGAUAGCAUCUAUGCACGAGACCCGGGGGAGAGAUAUGGGCCGUCCAGCCUAGAAUGUAGGGACCUCAACCAGUGGCAACUCAAUUGAGACCGGAUGUAACAUCAUGAUAGCAUCCAUGCACGAGACCCGGGGGAGAGAUAUGGGCCGUCCAGCCUAGAAUGUAGGGACCUCAACCAGUGGCAACUCAAUUGAGACCGGAUGUAACAUCAUGAUAGCAUCCAUGCACGAGACCCGGGGGAGAGAUAUGGGCCGUCCAGCCUAGAAUGUAGGGACCUCAACCAGUGGCAACUCAAUUGAGACCGGAUGUAACAUCAUGAUAGCAUCCAUGCACGAGACCCGGGGGAGAGAUAUCUCCUAUACCCUCGAUCCCCCAACAACGGCCAAACACUGCCAACUCCUGCCCCCCACGGCUAGGGUGACAAGCUUGUGCCACCGAGCUCGGCGGGAGCAACUCGUUCGUCUCCUCUUUUAUAUGGGUUUAAACCGCUGUAGAUUUUCCGUAUGGU
Molecule: long non-coding RNA, 660 nt
Filed under: Oryza sativa (Asian cultivated rice)
Lineage: Eukaryota; Viridiplantae; Streptophyta; Magnoliopsida; Poales; Poaceae
Description: long non-coding RNA (OSAT_LNC000929)
Source: RNAcentral